CGACCUUACUUGAACAGGAUCUGUUCUAUAGGCUCGUACCUCUGUAUUCUUGAUUCCUAAGAAGACAGAAACCCAUGUCUGGUUGAUGAAUGAAAACCGUGUGACUAGAGCGUGAUUAACGGAGCUUCAUGGUCUUGACCAUGGCUCGGUAGAGGAUCGUUGUCAG
Molecule: small RNA, 166 nt
Filed under: Helianthus annuus (common sunflower)
Lineage: Eukaryota; Viridiplantae; Streptophyta; Magnoliopsida; Asterales; Asteraceae
Description: Plant small nucleolar RNA U3
Rfam family: Plant small nucleolar RNA U3
About the family: Small nucleolar RNAs (snoRNAs) are involved in the processing and modification of rRNA in the nucleolus.
Source: RNAcentral